GCUAUGCUCUUCUAAUGGUUAGGAAACCAGUUUGUGGAGCUGGCACCAACACUGGAGACCAAGGUUCGAUUCCUUGACAAGGCA
This is a non-coding RNA of Hirsutella rhossiliensis, 84 nucleotides long. The record is from the annotation of a RefSeq genome assembly. NCBI's taxonomy places the organism in Eukaryota, Fungi, Ascomycota, Sordariomycetes, Hypocreales, Ophiocordycipitaceae.